CUGGCCUACGGGAGGCAGCAGUAGGGAAUAUUGGGCAAUGGGCGCAAGCCUGACCCAGCAACGCCGCGUGAAGGAAGAAGGCUUUCGGGUUGUAAACUUCUUUUCUCAGGGACGAAGCAAGUGACGGUACCUGAGGAAUAAGCCACGGCUAACUACGUGCCAGCAGCCGCGGUAAUACGUAGGUGGCAAGCGUUAUCCGGAUUUACUGGGUGUAAAGGGCGUGUAGGCGGGGACGCCAGUCAGAUGUGAAAACCA
Molecule: ribosomal RNA, 255 nt
Filed under: uncultured bacterium
Lineage: Bacteria
Description: partial 16S ribosomal RNA
Rfam family: Bacterial small subunit ribosomal RNA
Source: RNAcentral